Molecule: long non-coding RNA, 423 nt
Organism: Bufo gargarizans (Asiatic toad)
Lineage: Eukaryota; Metazoa; Chordata; Amphibia; Anura; Bufonidae
Exons: 3
Source: RefSeq, a predicted model, not a curated record
GAGUAGGAAGAAGAUUUAGAGAAUUUAGCUAACUUAGCAACUUUGUGUCUGCAGUGCUGAGGCCCAUGCUUCAUGGCAGAGCUCACCCCAUCAAGCCUGAGAGAUCUGCAGGAAAACCAGGAUUCCCCAUGUAGAAUAUGGACUCAGAAGGCACCAUCGUGUAGAGGAGAUGGCAUCCUCCUCACCAAUAUCCACUCACCCAGAAGGAACAAUGAGACAUGCUCUACAAGGUAUGUUUUCUCCAUGCAUCUCUGAAGAUUCAGCAAUUACAUAAAAAAAAUUAAAAAAAAAUCCUUAUAAACUUCUUUCUCAAUGAGCAGAAGGAAGACAGCCUGUGCCUGCUUCUUCUCUCUACUGCUCCUCAGCAUUUGUUUAGGUAAUGACUUGUAAUUGCACAUGGCUACAGAUCUGUCAUGCCACAGG